CUACGUGCCAGCAGCCGCGGUAAUACGGAGGGUGCGAGCGUUAAUCGGAAUAACUGGGCGUAAAGGGCACGCAGGCGGCUAUUUAAGUGAGGUGUGAAAUCCCCGGGCUCAACCUGGGAACUGCGUUCUGAACUGGGUGACUAGAGUGUGUCAGAGGGAGGUAGAAUUCCACGUGUAGCAGUGAAAUGCGUAGAGAUGUGGAGGAAUACCGAUGGCGAAGGCAGCCUCCUGGGAUAACACUGACGUUCAUGCUCGAAAGCGUGGGUAGCAAACAGGAUUAGAUACCCUGGUAGUCCACGCCCUAAACGAUGUCAAUUAGCUGUUGGGCAACUUGAUUGUUCAGUAGCGUAGCUAACGCGUGAAAUUGACCGCCUGGGGAGUACGGUCGCAAGAUUAAAACUCAAAGGAAUUGACGGGGACCCGCACAAGCGGUGGAUGAUGUGGAUUGAUUCGAUGCAACGCGAAGAACCUUACCUGGUCUUGACAU
Molecule: ribosomal RNA, 487 nt
Filed under: uncultured bacterium
Lineage: Bacteria
Description: bacterial SSU rRNA
Rfam family: Bacterial small subunit ribosomal RNA
Source: RNAcentral